GUCCACUUAACUUGGAGUCCAGAACUCUCACUUUCUAACCCUGUGCACUUGUUUGGGAUAGUAACUCUCGCAAGAGAGCGAACUCCUAUUCACUUAUAAACACAAAGUCUAUGAAUGUAUUAAAUUUUAUAACAAAAUAAAACUUUCAACAACGGAUCUCUUGGCUCUCGCAUCGAUGAAGAACGCAGCAAAAGAUCAUUAAUGAAUAUGGGACCUCAACUUAACUUGGAGUCGAACUCUCACUUUCUACCCUGUGCACUUGUUUGGGGAUAGUAACUCUCGCAAGAGAGCGAACUCCUAUUCACUUAUAAACACAAAGUCUAUGAAUGUAUUAAAUUUUAUAACAAAAUAAACUUUCAACAACGGACCCUUGGCUC
This 377-nucleotide unclassified non-coding RNA is filed under the name Rhodotorula mucilaginosa. Its description in RNAcentral is "sequence contains 5.8S rRNA gene". The stretch from base 141 to 273 matches the Rfam family "5.8S ribosomal RNA". Lineage: Eukaryota; Fungi; Basidiomycota; Microbotryomycetes; Sporidiobolales; Sporidiobolaceae. The record is from RNAcentral.